This 1901-nucleotide long non-coding RNA is filed under the name Apis florea (little honeybee). Its description in RNAcentral is "uncharacterized LOC116414460". The record is from RNAcentral. Lineage: Eukaryota; Metazoa; Arthropoda; Insecta; Hymenoptera; Apidae.
AAUCAAUGAAUUUAUAAGCAGAUUUUUUUUGUCCUCGAGAAGAAGAGUAUUUUCUUCUAAAAUGUCACUAUCGGUUGAGAGUUUGAUAUUGGAAGAUUAUUGGAUGGACCACGAAAAUAUUGAAAUUGAAUAUUGAAUCACUGAGAAAACGUGGAGAUAAAUCAAAGAAAAUAAUAUAAAAUAAUAUAAAUCAAAUAAAAUAAAACUUAUAUAAAUUCAGGUAUAAUAUUUAAUAUCAUCAUCAGAAUCAAAAAGAAAUAAAAUUUCCAUUUCCUGAUUUCUUUUUUAUUUCAAUCAUCAAGUAAACUUGUUUUUAGAAUUUACUUACAGAAUAACAGUUAGGAAAUGCAAAACCUCAUGCAAAAGAAAACCGUACGAGACAAUUGUCUAGAUAGACGCAUCAGGCUAAUGUUUUUUCCGUGUGCAACCGCUUCUCGCUGUCGACGUGAGAAGCGAAGUGCCUUCGACUUCAGGUUCACUGCCACGAGCAUUAUUACGCAAGAAGACUAUGUUCGUUCCUCCUGUUAUGUCUUAACCGCGCUUAAUUAAUCGCCUAAUUGCCGACCUGCCAAUUAAACGACCUCUGGUGUCAGCACGAGUUACGCUCGUUGGAUCAAUUUUCUCUGACUUAUGCAUAUUUUACGGAAAAACAUCACUUUCGAUCAAUUGGAAGUGAAAUUUCUGUGAACUAAUGGCCAGCAAUGAGCAGCGACAAUUUUAAACUCGUUAAACGUGAAAUGAGAAAAAUCCAAAUGUCUGGUUUUUAAUGCAAAUUAUAGGAGUAACAUUUAACGAUGUAAAACAAGAAAAAAAUAUGGAAUGACGGUAAUUAAACGACAUAUAAACUCGACGUAUUAAAAUCCUUUUACGGUGCAACACAUUGACAAAAAUCAUGCACACGCAUAGACGUCAGGCAGCGUUAGUUUAAUCUGAAAGAUACCGGAAACUGAAAGUACCGGGUAAAUCCCACGUUCGAUUCAAUGGAGACUUUAGCACGACCUUAAGCCAUAUACGUAAGUACAACGACCUCUUGUUGCUAAUUAUUCUCAUUAACGGAAAAACUGGAUUCCGUGGUUGCUGGAAUGCGAAGGAGAAUACCUUUUAUGUACAUUAGAUGAUAUACACAAUUGUAAUAGUUUUUUUUUUAAACAAUCUACUAUGGUACAUUACUUAGUGAGAUUUUUAGUUAUUUUUGUCUGAGAUAUUAUUUAUUAUAAAUUUUUAAAUUUUCUAUUUUUGUCAAGAUACAAUAUUCAUUUUUCUUUGAAUUUAUGGCAAUAUACUAAAAUUAUAUUUUAUGUAAAUUUUUUUAUCUCAAUAUCUACUUUUGGAGAAGUUUGAGAUAUAGAUAUGAAGAAUGUUAAGUUAUAAUAUUAAAGAAAAUAUAUUUUUAAUGCUAAUAUAAGUUAAUUAUUAACUUUAUUAAGAUCAAAAUCUGUCUUACUAUAAUGCUAACUUGUAAAUAUUAAAAACUUAUAAAUAUACAGAACAUUGCUAUUUAUUUCUGAUAAUAAAAUUUUGAUUAAAAAGAAUUUUAUUAAAAAUUGAAUAAUUCAAAGAUUUAAAGAUUCAAUGAUACACAAAAUUUCGCACUUUCGUAUUUCUCGUCGCUGAAUGAAUCUGAUAUCAUAGCAUGGCAAUUAAUUGGAGUCGUUGAAGGAGCUGAGGUUAUUGCGAGAAGCUGGAACUCCCCCAGGAAAGUAUAGCUUCUAGUUAGGUUUAAUCUGAAAUUCUGGAAAGCACAGUAUAUUCGCACCGCGUAACGAACCCGCAUUAAUUAAGUUCCGCUUCCGUCCGCGAACGGAAGUAACGAAGAAAGUUCGGCGGCCAGUUAGUCCUCCCUCUACGAAUUUCACUACCAAAUUUUCGCCUUAUACAUCAUCAGGUUCUGGUACAAUCUU